This is a long non-coding RNA of Neltuma alba, 257 nucleotides long. RefSeq lists it as uncharacterized. The record is from RefSeq and is a predicted model, not a curated record. The transcript is spliced from 3 exons. NCBI's taxonomy places the organism in Eukaryota, Viridiplantae, Streptophyta, Magnoliopsida, Fabales, Fabaceae.
UAUUUCUUUUAAGUUUGUACAUGUUAUGAUUGCAUAUUUAUGAUCUUUUUUCGUUGGAUGUAGGGAUUGAGACAAGCAGUUGCUGAAUUUUUUCCAAACUCAUGGCAUAGAUAUUGUGAAAUCUUCUGUAAGUGCAUCACAAACUUCAUUUAAAGAAGUAACUCAAGAUCAUGCUUUAGUACAAGCAAGAGCAAAGUCAAAAAUUGAAGCUAGACGAGCAAAGAAGAUUGCCAGGUCAGGCGGAAUUUCUAGCAAUC